UUGCUUUGUUUUAGCUUUGCCCAAUUUCUGUUUUACCUUAUUACUGCGCGUUUCCUCCUUCUACGUUUGUUUCGACCAUGAUAGCGGAUGCAAUAGGAAAUUGACGGUUGGUUUUUAGUGACCAUGAUAGCGGAUGCAAUGGGUUAUACGACCUAUGAACAUAUGAUUUUGUGUCAACACCAGUAUCAUUAGAAACCUAGGUCCGAAUGUGUUUGAACUCUUCUGAAAUUG
RNAcentral lists this long non-coding RNA (231 nucleotides) under Lathyrus oleraceus (garden pea). RNAcentral describes it as "Pisum sativum (pea) long non-coding RNA (PSAT_LNC036526)". Lineage: Eukaryota; Viridiplantae; Streptophyta; Magnoliopsida; Fabales; Fabaceae. The record is from RNAcentral.